AUGGCUUCCAGGAUAUCAUUUUCACAGUACAAAUUAGAGGCAGAAAUAGAAAAAUGCAGAGGAGAGUGUCAAUGGGACAAAGUUCAAAACCUGGUGAAGCAACUGCCUCCCAAAACAUCGGAAAACGAUGAUUUUGGGAAUCUGCUUCUUGCUGAAGUUCUCUUGGAACAGUGCCUCAAGGAAAAUGCAGCCAGACUGAAAGAUUGCACUCCAAUAAUGGAAAAGAAUGAACCCAAAAUACGAGAAGCCAAGAAGUACUUGAGCAGUAUAUUAAACAGAGGCAAACUGCAACACAAUCUGAUGACUGAAGCCAUUCUUAUCUUAGCAAAACUGCAUUUUGUGGAGGGGUCAUAUCGCGAUGCGCUCAGCAUGUAUGCCCGAGUGGGAAUCGAUGACCUUUGUGUUGAAGAUGAACCAAUUUAUAAGAAAAGACUCUUAGCGGAAGCUUUUGUUAUUAAAGGCUUGUCCCUUGAGCGACAGGCUUCAUCUGUUACCUCACGAGUUCGUCUGUUCGAACGAGAGGAAGAGAUAAUGUCAUGUUUUGAAAAAGCUAGUGUUAUUGCUCUAGUAUACUUACAAGAAGAAGAACGGAUUAUGAUCAGCACUCAAUCUAGAGGUACGAAGGGAAAUGUGCCUGUUCAGGAAUUGGAGCUCACAUACUUUCUUGAAGCUGCAUUGCAAAGUGCUUAUGUGCAUUAUUUAAAAAAAGGGGACCUAGCCAAGGGAAUAAAACAAAUGCGGGAAAUAUUAAGAGCUAUGGAAACAAGACCCACACAGAAUUUCAGAAUGACAAUAGCCAAACAACUGGCUGGAGUACUUCUACGAAAUCUGUGUGAGGACAGUUAUUGGAAUCCAUUUUCAGAGCCACCUCCUGAUCUGAUCAAAAGUGAGAAAAAUGACCCUUUUCAGAUCGCACUAACCACUGGUCCUCAACUGUAUCAAGGAGACAAUCUCUUCUGCCCAGAGGACAUUGUUGAAGAAGCACUCCUACUUCUUCGUAUCAGUGAGUCAAUGGCAAAUCGAGAUGGUGUAAUAAGUCGUGCGCCAGAUCAGAGAGAGGACCGCAACAUCAGCUUCCAGAAUGCCACUGCCUUGUAUGAUCUCUUGACCAUAACUAUGGGCAGAAGGAAACAGUAUGAAAUGCUCUCAGAAUGCUUGGAGAGAGCAAUGAAGUUUGCAUUCGAUGAAUUUCACCUGUCGUAUCAAUUAGCACUUUCAUUGGUCGCUUGUGGCAAGUCAACUAGGGCCGUGUCCGCUCUUAGAGAAUGUGCAAAUCUCCAACUCAGUGAUCCAAGUAUACCACUCAUGGCUGCCAAGGUCUGCAUUGCACCUUUACACUGGCUUGAACAAGGAGAGUGGUUUUGCAAGAUUGUAACGACCAUGGGAGAAGAAGCGGGUGAAUUUCUCGGCAAGGGUUAUCUGGGCCUAGGGCUGGUCUACAGUCUCCAAGCUACAGAUGCUCCUCUAAGGAGCACCCGAGAUAAGCUCCACAAGAAAGCAUUGAAAGCUCUCAGAAGAGCUCACAGUUUGGAUAGUGAAGAUCAUCGAAUUGCUCUCUACCUUUCCUUGCAGUUGGCUUUCAACAGGCAGAUCUCUGAAGCUAUUGAACAAUUACAAGUGGCACUUAAACUCAGGAAUGAUGACAUGCAUUCUCUCCAUUUACUGGCGCUUCUGUUUUCUGCCCAAAAACAUUAUCAACGUGCUUUAGAGGUCAUCAACAUGGCAGUCAGUGAAUAUCCAGAAAAUUUCAGUUUAUUUUUCACUAAAGUCAAACUUGAAGCAGUUCAUACAGGACCAGAGGAAGCUCUUGAAACCUGCAGAAAUAUGUUGAACUUGUGGCAGACAACCCAUGCUGCGCAGUUCAGUGAUUGUGACAAAGAAAGCAGUAUGACUGAAAAACAGAGCACAGUUCGGAGUAGUUUGGUUGAGGGUGCAGCAACUGAGAAGCGAAACACUGUUCAUCUCAGUUUUCCUGAUUUUCACGAGGCUGAUGCAGGUUCUCUGCGUGUCCCAUCAAUUGCUGCUUCCCGAAUGGAACUGGCCAUGUCUGAAAUAUCUGCACAGAGCACUGCUGUGAAACAUGCCCCCAAGCAACUGACCAUUAUUCUGGAGCAGAUAUGGCUGCAAGCAGCUGAACUUUUUCUGGAACUACAAAGGACCAAAGACGCUUCCUUCUGCAUCCAAGAAGCAGCAAGUCUUUUCUCCAUGUCGCAUGAUGUGAUAUUCAUGCGUGGGAGGCUAGAAGAGAUGAGAGGCAAUUUGAGAGGAGCCAAGCACUUUUAUGAUGAGGCUCUUGUUAUAAAUCCAAGAAGUGCAAAGAUCAUGGAACAAUUGGGAAGGACACUGCACAAAAUGGGCCGGAAUAGUUUGGGAGAGAAGUUUCUGAGAGAUGCGGUUCAGGCUCAGGCAACAUCCCACGAGGCCUGGAACAGUCUGGGGGAGGUGCUGCAAGACCAAGGGAAAAAUGAAGAUGCUGCAGAAUAUUUUCUUACCGCAUUAGAGCUGGAAGCCAGCAGUCCCAUUGUUCCGUUUGCUGUCAUACCGAGAGAGCUUUGAGAUCAGUCAUGUGGGUCAAAUUGUAUGUUUUCCAAAGAUUUAAUUUGUUGACUCAUUGAGCAGAAAUCAGUUGCAAAAUAUCCAGGACAAUCAAUUCAGACUCCUUUUAACCAGUUUCCUAUUCGCUGCAAGUUCGCAAUGGCCUCCGUCAUGUCCUGCCAGCUCCUACUAGAAUCGGACAGAGUUUUUCCAUUCACAGCAAUUCUUAUGAGACACAUUGUGAGACAGUACCUUACACGGAAUAGUAUCCAGAGCGGGGCAUCAUUAUUCCACAGCAGAUGUAGUGGCAUCUUUCCAGAAUAGCCUGAGAUUGUUUACUGCAUGAAGGAGCUGAGAUGGAUUGCCCUCAAAUGGCAUGUACGUUGCAGUAUUACUGUUCUUAUUCCCUUUUCCCUGCACUGGAGAUCAGCCUUUCAUUGAGAGAGUUAUCAGGGACCCUCAUGCCGCAUGAUGUAAUCAUUAUUAAUAAUUUUGGCUAAAUCACUGCAGGUUAACUCAGAAUUCUCCAUUGAAUUUGUCAAUUUAUUUAAGAUCCUCAGGAAUUUUUAAUUUAGAAAAUGUGUAUGUUCUACCAUGAACAGUUUCAUGAGACAUAGAAUUUACUACUGUAAUAUUGACAUAUGUCUAUUUGUCUGAUCAUUAUUUAAGUGUGUAGUUGACAUUGCUGAGCCUUUUGGUCAGCUCUGCAGUACUUCAGCAAUGACUUGCCCUUAUUGGAUAAUGCAAUCAUCUUUUAUUUUACAACAGCCAUUGUUCAAUAUCUUGCGGUGAUUGUAACAAGGUAAGCCAGAUGGCCAUCAUAGAAUAUGAGUUCCCUGAUUGGGGCUGUUAAUCUGGUCCCAUCAGGGAAUCCUGGCUGACAGGUAUAAUGGGUAUCUAAGGUUCUGUUCAAUCUGAGAGCUGGCUCUGACAAAGCCAACCAGUGUGUAUUAUACUUGUGUAAAUCAAGGGUAACUUGGUGACGGGAAAACAGCCUCUGUGGACUUAUUACUGUGAUAAUGAGAGAAAAAAAAUGCUCCUGAAGAAAUUUGAUGGCAACAGUCAUCUUUUGAGUUGGGCUUAGCCUUUCUGGCAUCAUGCCUUUAUUUGGGAAGCUUAACUCAUUUGAUCCUGUCAUCAAAGACUGGGCCUAGUAUGUGGAAAGAAUGUGUUUUUUUUUUGGGAAAAUGAUAUCGGGGCAGAUGAAAAGGCACCAGAUACUGAAACCUUUCAAGAGUUGACGUAUUUAGUUAAGGAAUAUUAAACCCCAGGUCCAGUCUAUAUCUGAGAUGCUAUCGGUUUUACUCAGCAAUUUAAGAACGAGGGGACUCUGUACUGGAAUUUUUUGACAAGGUUAAGAUGAUGGGCAAAGGCAUGUGACUUUGGUUUAACCCUUAAUCAGAUUCUGAGAGACUGUUUGAUAUGUGGGUUUAAUGAUAUAGCCGUGCAAAUGCACUACUAAUGAAGCCCAAUUGGACUUCAGACAGGCACUACCACUGGCUUUAUCAUCAGAAAGGGUGACAAGUGGAGCAUAUUGGUUACAGGGUAUGCCGAUAGUAAUGAAGACCCUCACCAGGCCAACUGAACACCACUUGAGAGAAUGCAGUUGCAUAGCCUCAUUCAGGGCAUAUCAUUCAGGACUCAAAGCUGAAAAUGUGUUGCUGGAAAAGCGCAGCAGGUCAGGCAGCAUCCAAGGAACAGGAAAUUCGACGUUUUGGGCAUAAGCCCUUAAAAAGCUCUGAUCUCCAGCAUCUGCAGUCCUCACUUUCUCCCCAGAGGGACUCAAAGUCAGCCCACAGCCAAACCGGAAAACAAAGCCAAGCCUUGGCCAAAUGGUUAAAAUUUUCUUAAGGAUCUUGUCCGGCAAGCCACUGUAGUUGCUGUCGGUGUGCGGACUUGAGACAGCAAAAGAGUUCCGUGGGACCUAAAUUGAGGAAGAAAACUUAUAUGCCAAUAUCUGUGAAGAGUGCGCACCCUGGAAAGUCCACCUAUAUCUGACUUGGAGCAGUAAAGAAGAAUAUGCCAAAUGGAAAUAACAUACCGAAGUAGGAGGCAUUUAAAUAUCGAAGACAAAUACAGAAAAGAUGAGAUGCCUGUCACACCCCAGAGAAUUGCAACAAUAGACGUCACCUCAUAGUUCUCAUGCUUAGGGGAUAUUUAUAUAAAUUUAAUGUCUGUUUGUAAUACAGGGGAAGCACUGAAUUGCGCUAUUUAGCCACACCUUAGUCACUGUCUGUUUACUGGAAAAAAUAAAACUUUAAAAUGUUUAUUGAGUAAUAACUGACAAAUCAAUCACAAUCUCUGGAUGACGGAAAAGGGAAGUAGCAGUGGAAACAGGAAAUUAAAACUGUCUGAUUUGACCACUGUGCUCCGAGGUUGAUUAGCAUCAGCUUGCGAUUUUUUGUUUAAAAUACAAUUGACUGUUGAUUUGUGUGAAGUCACACAGGCAGCCCAUGCCACAGUAUGGGUUUCAUUUUGCGGCAGGAGCUGAAGGCUUAACCUCAUUCUCUUUCACCAUAUUAAGCAACAACUUGAACUAUUACUGAGAGUCAAGGAAUUUCCUGGUGUAAUUUUGAAUGCGUAUAAUUAGCUCGUCUCAGGGGACACUUUCAUAGUUUUGGGACCCGUUCAUUGAUAUGAUCAACGGAGGUGGAUUGGUAAUACUGUGCAUUAUAAAUGUUUUCCCUAUAAUGUAAAGCUAACUACCACCAAAAAUAAUGCAUUGAAAAAAACAACUCUCAGUGCAGUGAAGCAGCACAAAAGCUUUGCUUCUGCUGUAGACUUGCUGAACUGUGAGCUGGUUUUGCUGUGAGUCUGUCUGUUUACAUUGCACAUCACUGGCUGCAGCACAAACAGAAUCACGUACAUGCAGUUGCUCAGUGGUUGUAUUUGCACCUGUGGAGUGUUCCGUAAUGUGUUUAAAAAAAAGAUGUGAACCGUCUAGAAGUGUGAAAGGUACACAUUUCAAACUCAGGCUAGCAAAUCUUGUAGCAUUCAGUCUGAGCAAGUCCAGUUUCAUGUUAGCCCUGUACAGGAAUUGGCUGUGAGAGACUCUGAGGGUGCUGGCACGGCUGCAAAAUAGUAAGGACAAUUUUCAUGAAAUAAUUUUAUCGCUGAACUUGUCCAAACUCCAAAGCAUGAAGCCAGAUCUUUUCUGCCAAUUAAAAAGCAGCUGAUUGGAUUUAAUUUUCAGAUAAUAAAAGUCAGGCAAUCAGAUUCACUAUAUUACAGAUUCACUUGAAAAACAGUUACUGGUCAUGGAUACUUACAGACACAGAUCUUUGGUUCACAUAAUGUAGAGUUGUUUCUUUCGGCUUCCCUUCUGACCCAGCCAUAAGCCUGUUGAAUGGCAGAGCAAGUUCAAGGGGCUGAAUGGCCUCCUCCUGUUCCUAUUGCUUAUGGUCUUAUUUCUUCAGCUGGUUCUAAAUGUCUGUUAAUUGUAAGAUUUACUAUUUAUAAGUUAGAGCUAUAAUUUGGGGAAGGUGAGAUAUAAAAUUCAACUGAGCUAAGGGGACUGAUUUUCAGAAUUUAGUGGGAGAUAAGGAAAUGGGCCUUACUUCAUUUUCAUGCCUUACAUAUGCCACUAGCAUAGUAGUUAAAUUUGAAUUACUGAAAGAUUCUAAUUUAAUCUGGAGAAAAAAAAUUAGCUAUGAGCCUGGUUUUGUUUCUAAUUCCAUGAGUUUAUCUUAAAUCAUAACUCAUAUCAAUAACCAAUCAGCAAAAUUCAUUAACCAUUAUGAAAUUUGUGAUCAUUUAAAAGAUCCAAAUGGACUAUUCUGAACUGCUGGGAGGAGGGGACUGCUUCUUCAGUAAUGGAUAAUGAUUAUUGUGGGCAUUCACCAAGCUGAUAAUCUUGCACAUUUUAUUUAGGCGAUGGAUUGUAGUAGACUUAAAUAGAAGUGCUCCAGUGUAGAUGUUCUAUGGUUCACUUACAAACUGCAGAAGGAUCAGCUGAUGUGAAGAUUUAUGUUUCACAUAUCUCUUUCCCAUUUGUUAAGAAUCAACUGUAUUUUUAGAAAUUCUUUUUUAGGAAAACUGUCAUUUCACUUCAUUACAGUUCACAUUAAUUAGUUCACAUUCACAUGGUACUCUUCCACUCAGUGUCAGACACUCUUCUGCAUUGUCCACAAUUAAUGACCAUCUAAAGUUUGUCAAGACUAAAAACAGCAUUUUAAUUUUUUGUAAUUGUAACUUAGUGACUGGCGGUGUCAGUUUAAAGAUCAAUUGAUGCUAUGAAAUAGCAUCCUUGCCUAAGCCCCCACAGUCUUUUGAACAGUGACACAAUAUUUACUUGGGUUUCAGUUUCACGUUUCCCACACAGGGUGUAAGUUGUCCAGAAUCUGCAGCAGGAACUCAGGCGGCUCAAUUAUUAAUUCACACUGUGCACCAGUCUAGAAAGUACUACUGGCUUGGCACAUUGCAAAAGUGACUUAUGCCAGGGGAGAUGUAUGCUGAUAUUUUCUUCCAACCACUUGAGACACUUUGUCCUAUAAAUCUUUUAUGUCUGUGCCUCAAAAAAAUGUAUUUGAAAUAGCAAUUGAUUCAUAUACUGUCGAAGAUACCAGAACUUUAGAGAUUGCAUAUGCAGUAUUAAGUAAUUUAUUUUAAAUGUUCACUUUAUUUCUGGGAAAGGAAGCUGAUUUUUAAAAUUAGUUUUACAGUGAAGAUACCAAUGUUAAAUAAUUAAAUGGAGCUGUGUCAGAGUACAUGUUUGCAUAAUACAAAGAUGGAUAUUUACUUUGCCAUGAAUAAAUGGACUUCAGCUUGUUGGUUUUAUAAUAUGCUCAGUGCACUGAAUUAUAGCAAAUGAGUAAGACUCCAGCAUAUAAACUCACCCAACAUCUAUUAAAUGU
Hemiscyllium ocellatum (epaulette shark) is the source of this 7388-nucleotide RNA transcript. It is a transcript of the gene named tetratricopeptide repeat protein 7A-like, with no coding region annotated. The record is from RefSeq and is a predicted model, not a curated record. The transcript has 21 exons. NCBI's taxonomy places the organism in Eukaryota, Metazoa, Chordata, Chondrichthyes, Orectolobiformes, Hemiscylliidae.